This 253-nucleotide ribosomal RNA is filed under the name uncultured bacterium. RNAcentral's name for it is "partial 16S ribosomal RNA". It matches the Rfam family "Bacterial small subunit ribosomal RNA", at positions 524 to 776 of the family's 1533-position model. The record is from RNAcentral.
UACGAAGGGGGCUAGCGUUGUUCGGAAUUACUGGGCGUAAAGCGCGCGCAGGCGGUUCUUCAAGUCAGAGGUGAAAGCCCAGAGCUCAACUCUGGAAUGGCCUUUGAGACUAGAGAACUAGGGUACGGGAGAGGUGAGUGGAAUUCCGAGUGUAGAGGUGAAAUUCGUAGAUAUUCGGAAGAACACCAGUGGCGAAGGCGGCUACCUGGACCGGUUCUGACGCUGAUGCGCGAAAGCGUGGGUAGCAAACAGG